AGUCGGACGGGAUAGGAGAGCUUGCUUUCCUUGAGAGUGGCGCACGGGUGCGUAACACGUAUGUAACCUACCUUGUUCAGGGGGAUAGCCUCUCGAAAGAGAGAUUAAGACCGCAUAACAUUAUGAUAUGGCAUCGUAUUAUAAUCAAAUAUUUAUAGGAACAAGAUGGGCAUGCGGAACAUUAGCUAGUUGGUAAGGUAACGGCUUACCAAGGCUACGAUGUUUAGGGGAUCUGAGAGGAUGACCCCCCACACUGGUACUGAGACACGGACCAGACUCCUACGGGAGGCAGCAGUAAGGAAUAUUGGUCAAUGGGCGGAAGCCUGAACCAGCCAUGCCGCGUGCAGGAAGACGGCCCUACGGGUUGUAAACUGCUUUUGUACCAGAAUAAACCUUCUUUCGUGAAAGAAGCUGAAUGUAUGGUAAGAAUAAGGAUCGGCUAACUCCGUGCCAGCAGCCGCGGUAAUACGGAGGAUCCAAGCGUUAUCCGGAUUUAUUGGGUUUAAAGGGUGCGUAGGUGGCUUAUUAAGUCAGGGGUGAAAGACGGUAGCUUAACUAUCGCAGUGCCUUUGAUACUGAUGAGCUUGAAUGAACUAGAGGUAGGCGGAAUGUGACAAGUAGCGGUGAAAUGCAUAGAUAUGUCACAGAACACCAAUUGCGAAGGCAGCUUACUAUGGUUAAAUUGACACUGAGGCACGAAAGCGUGGGGAUCAAACAGGAUUAGAUACCCUGGUAGUCCACGCCCUAAACGAUGAAUACUCGAUGUUGGCGAUAUACGGUCAGCGUCUAAGCGAAAGCGUUAAGUAUUCCACCUGGGGAGUACGCCCGCAAGGGUGAAACUCAAAGGAAUUGACGGGG
RNAcentral lists this ribosomal RNA (858 nucleotides) under Sphingobacteriaceae bacterium 01xTSA12B_E03. RNAcentral describes it as "bacterial SSU rRNA". It matches the Rfam family "Bacterial small subunit ribosomal RNA", at positions 60 to 918 of the family's 1533-position model. The record is from RNAcentral. Lineage: Bacteria; Pseudomonadati; Bacteroidota; Sphingobacteriia; Sphingobacteriales; Sphingobacteriaceae.